Molecule: long non-coding RNA, 1370 nt
Filed under: Ananas comosus (pineapple)
Lineage: Eukaryota; Viridiplantae; Streptophyta; Magnoliopsida; Poales; Bromeliaceae
Description: long non-coding RNA (ACOM_LNC005223)
Source: RNAcentral
AUAUAUAUAUAUAUAUAUAUAUAUAUAUAUUUGAGCUAGAAUACUAUCGGUAGCAAACGGGUUCCGUAGCCACAUAUUUGUUUUCGAUGAUGGAAUCUCCAAAUCGACGAUCGGUACCGUUGAACAUGAUCUAUACCACUUGAAGUAUUUAGAAAUCAAAUUUCAUACAUUUCAAUAUUAUUCUUUUAUCCAUCGAGUGGACACAAAAAUAAACGGCUAAAAAUGAAUAUUCUUUAAAAAAUGAUGAUAGGAGUCUUGUAGUCAAGAUUAAGAGUAUACAUCUUAUUUUAAAUAGUUAAAGAAUUUUCUAAUAAAAAUUCAAUUGAUUUGGAUAUUUUUACGCCUUUAAACGAGAAAACGCUUUAUAUCGACCAUUAAAAUUACAAAUUUUGAAUCCUUUUGAUCAUUAGACAAAUGAUGUUGAAAAGAUUUGAAAUUUGAUUUCUAAACAUUUCAAGUGAUAUAGAUCAUGUUCAACAGUCCCGAUUAUCGAUUCGAAGGCCCCAUCAUAGAAAACAAAUGGAUGACAACGGAGCCCGUUUACUACCUAUAGUUUUCCAACUCAACAAUAUAUAUAUAUAUAUAUAUAUAUAUAUAUAUAUAUAUAUAUAGUGUCUCCUGUACUUUCGAAAGUACGGAGACCUCCGUACUUGUAAGUUGUUUUAUAUAUAUAUAUUAAUAUAUAUAUAAAUUAUAUAAUAUACAAUUCCUUAAAUAUUUAUUUACACUAAGGGCUUGUUUGGUUCAAGAGUGGAAUUGAAAUGAAUAAUGGAAUGAGAAUGAAUUGGAAUAGCAAUUGGAUUUCCCCACUCUCCCAAGACGUUUGAUUCAUUUCUUGAUUGGAAAUCGGAAUUAAUUAUUCUUAUUUUACUGUUUAGUUGAUACAAAGUUAAAAAAUAAUAUAAUAAAAUAAUGCUAAUUUUACUUUUAAAUAUAAUUUUAUAAAACUAUCUAAAAUUUAUAAAAAAAAAUUAUUAUAAAAAAAAAUUAAUAAGACUCUCAAGUUAGAGUUAUGCCAAAAAAAUUUGAAUUUAUUUUAAAAAUUUUUAUGCAAGAAAUUACAAAAAAAGCCCUUUUUUUUAAUGAUGAGAAAAGAGAGAAGAGAUAGGUAUAGAAAGAGAAAGGAUGGAUAAAAUGGAAAAAUGUUAGGCUAGGCGUGAGGAAGAGGUGAGUGUGGGCUUGGAAUUGAAAUUUCAAUCCGGAUUUGAAAACCGAAAUCAAUUUGUAAGCUAAUGGACCAUUUCCAUUCCGAUCCGAAAUGGGAGUCUCAAACCGAUUCCUGUGAACCAAACAAAAUUAGCCGGAUUUGAUCAAACCGAUUCCCAUUCCGGAUCCAAAAUAUAUGAACCAAACGUGCCCAAAAACUAGAA